AGAAUUUAAUUUUUCUCUUAAAUUGUAACCCAAUACUUUGUCAUUUAAUGUGAGUUCACAAAAAUAUAGAGUUUGAUAAGAUAUAAUAUCUAAUCACUGUAAGAAUGCUUUGAAACCAUAAGGUUCUGAUAAGAGGCCUUUAUAUCGCUGAUCGAUAACACUAAAGCUUCAGUUUCAAAUAUAAAAGUGGAGGAACAAGACGUACUUAAUUGAGUGAACUAAUCAGUGUAGGAAGAAUGUUAAAUAAAAGUGUAGUUUUGUCAACUAUCGUGGUUGUUCUUAUUUCUAUAACUAAAGCAGAAGAAACGACAUGGACUAGGAUCGGAUUAAAUAAAAUAUUUUACAAGAAGCACGAUGAGGUCACUGUUAGUUGUAGCUGUGAAGGCCCAGAACUUUGCACAAACAUUGAGUGGACUUAUAUGAAUCUGGAUGGAAUGUAUAGCAAGAAGAGACUAGAUAAUUAUACACUUGUGACUGAGGAGUCUGCUGAGAAGAAAAUAGAACAAGUGCGCUUUGAAGCUACAGAGUCAUUCACGAUUUCAUGUACUUUCUUCUUCCCAACCUAUGACCCUAACACAAUAACUAAAUACGCCUACGUGAGCAAUUUGGAUGAAAUAAUGAAGAUAGAAGUACUUCCUAAUCCUAUAUUGGCCAAGGGAGAAACACUAGAGCUUUCUUGUAUAGCUGACAAAGUUCUCUUCCACUCAGUUAACUGGUUUAAGAACAAUGAGUUGAUAAUUGUGAAGAACAGAACAAGUUUUUCUUUAGUGGAAACUCUCAAAACAAAUGAAACAAUUUUAAAAAUUACGGAUAUUGAAAGGGAAGAAUCAGGAAAGUUCGAAUGUCGAGCAGAAGGAAAAGAAAGUAUUUUCAAUGGCCAAAAAUAUCAACAAAAUAGAUCUGUUAAUAUACUUGUAUUAGACUGGAUUGCAAGAUCAGCUGACCAGAAGAUACUUAACAAAGCCUUGAACGAGUCAAUGGAGUUUACUGAAUUCAGUCGGAUUAUCGAAAAAACAUCAGACAGAAUUGAUAAUGAGGCUGAGAAGCCUCAAACUUCAAUACAAAUUUCUACAAUAGUUGUAAUCGUUGUAAUACUCGUGCUACUAUUAAUAAUACUAGGAAUUGCUGCCUUCUUUAUUUUGAGAAGAGUUUUAAAGAAAAACACACAAAAUGCAUAUGAUAAUCGUACAUACGAAUUAAUAGAAUGUGAACAAACGCCAAUAAGUUACAAACAUCCAGAUAUUAUUCCUGGGCCAGAAGAUGCCGAAAGCUCUUCUCAACGACACACAAACACAGUGAGUACAACGCUCGAAAUGGAUUCCAUUGAUUGGCUUCUAUAUAGACAGUCAUCACUAAUUAAAACAAAGAGUCGUGCUGCAAUUUAUGGAAAAGACUUUUCCGAUAAAAAUGAAGGAAUAGACAAUGCAAAUGUGGAAGAUAUUCGCAGUGUGACGAGUGAAGAACCAAUAAAAUCCUAUUCAAACUACAUUCGAAGAUCAGCAGCAAUUUUGCAGCGAGCAAAGAGUAUCGGGAUCAAAAGCCAAGUUCUGGAUGAAUACAAAGAUCUUUGCAUGAAGUAUGAGUUUCCCAUGAGAAACCUUAAGUUUGUUCAGGAUUUGGGCUCAGGUGCUUUUGGGUACGUGAAGUUAGCGUACGCUGAUGGCUUGAUUCCGGGAGAAAAAACUGCAGUCGCCGUAAAAGGCACAAAAGGCGAUGACAAGAAAAUGAAAGAAGCUCUUCUGGCUGAGAUUAAAGUCAUGGUGCACAUUGGCUUGCACAAAAAUGUCGUGAAUCUUCUAGGGAUUCUCACAGUGAAUAUCAAUAAAGGUGAAUUCAUGAUUAUGGUAGAAUAUUGUGCACUUGGGAAUAUCCGUGAUUAUUUAAGAGAAAAUAAGACGCUGUUUUUCAAUGACAAUCCUUCUGAAUCUGGAUCUCUUCCGCUCUUAAUGGACCAUCAAGCAACCAAGUUGACAAUGCCUGAACUGCUAAGUUGGUCUUUCCAAGUUACACGAGGAAUGGAUUUCCUGGCAUCCAAGAGAGUCAUCCAUGGCGACUUGGCUGCAAGAAACAUUCUUCUCUGUCACGAUAAUUUCGUCAAGAUUUGCGACUUUGGUCUGGCUCGAUUUAAGCAGGAAAAUAAUUUAUACAAAAAGCGAAGCAGCGCUCCUCUGCCCUUCAAGUGGAUUGCAUUGGAGUCGAUUGAGGAUGGCAUUUUCAGCACUUACUCAGAUAUUUGGUCCUUUGGCGUUGUUUUGUGGGAAAUCUUCUCAUUCGGCGAAGAACCUUAUCCAGAAAUUAAACUAACAGAUAUCUGCAUGAAGCUCAAAACUGGAUACAGAAUGAACAAACCUCAACAUGCUAAUCAAGCAUUGUACAACAUUAUGUUGAAUUGUUGGAGUGAAAAUCCACAAGAAAGACCACAAUUUGGUGAAUUGGAACUAAAGCUUGGGAAAUUGUUGAACAAGAUGCAAAGAUAUUUGGUCGUGUCAUCAAAUGAGCCCUACGUGAUUAUUAAUAGAGGAGUGGAGCAGCAUUUAGGAAUCGUAGGUUAAUUUACAUGUUAAGUACUGAACUAAAUUGUACCUCGAAAGCGUUGAAAAAUUCUGACAAAAUAAGAAAGUAUAAAAAAUAUUGACACCGUUUGUUCACUUUAAUCGAUUUAGGAUCAAGUCAAAAUCUAUCUUUAUCGCACAGCAUUCGAUAAUGACCCUGACUCUGUUCGGAUGCGAAGUGAUAUGAAAUCUCUGGAGAAUGUCUAAGUGAUGCUAAUUGAAUUAGAAACGCCCAUAUUCAAUUGAGUAACAUCGGCGACAGGGCUCGAGUGUUGCGGCUUUUCUCUCUCGUGUAGACUGAAGUGGACACUUUGGCUGAGAAAUGUACUAUUUCAAUAAAAUUACAUCGAAAAACGAUAAGGAAGGCAGCUUUAUUUUGGAAACCGGCAGAAGCAUGGAAAAUUUCCUCCAAGACAGCGCCAAGUUGUUCUCAAAAGACGGAGCUGAUGACAAUGGGAGUCCCCAGAAGGAGUCCAGCGUGGCUGAAGCAGCGCCCUCGUCACAGGAAUCUGUGAUUCCUCUGGCAGACGACAACCUUCUGGU
This is an RNA transcript of Phlebotomus argentipes, 3095 nucleotides long. It is a transcript of the gene named sorting nexin-32, with no coding region annotated. Lineage: Eukaryota; Metazoa; Arthropoda; Insecta; Diptera; Psychodidae. The transcript has 6 exons. The record is from RefSeq and is a predicted model, not a curated record.